UACGUAGGGUGCAGGCGUUAAUCGGAAUUACUGGGCGUAAAGCGUGCGCAGGCGGUUUGCUAAGACAGGUGUGAAAUCCCCGGGCUUAACCUGGGAACUGCGCUUGUAACUGGCAAGCUAGAGUGGGACAGAGGAGAGUGGAAUUUCGUGUGUAGGGGUGAAAUCCGUAGAUCUACGAAGGAAGGCCAAAAGCGAAGGCAGCUCUCUGGGUCCCUACCGACGCUGGGGUGCGAAAGCAUGGGGAGCGAACAGG
RNAcentral lists this ribosomal RNA (253 nucleotides) under uncultured bacterium. Its description in RNAcentral is "partial 16S ribosomal RNA". It matches the Rfam family "Bacterial small subunit ribosomal RNA", at positions 524 to 776 of the family's 1533-position model. The record is from RNAcentral.